RNAcentral lists this transfer RNA (105 nucleotides) under Promethearchaeota archaeon. RNAcentral describes it as "Candidatus Lokiarchaeota archaeon (permafrost metagenome) tRNA-Ala". It matches the Rfam family "tRNA". Rfam says of the family: Transfer RNA (tRNA) molecules are approximately 80 nucleotides in length. Their secondary structure includes four short double-helical elements and three loops (D, anti-codon, and T loops). Further hydrogen bonds mediate the characteristic L-shaped molecular structure. tRNAs have two regions of fundamental functional importance: the anti-codon, which is responsible for specific mRNA codon recognition, and the 3' end, to which the tRNAs corresponding amino acid is attached (by aminoacyl-tRNA synthetases). tRNAs cope with the degeneracy of the genetic code in two manners: having more than one tRNA (with a specific anti-codon) for a particular amino acid; and 'wobble' base-pairing, i.e. permitting non-standard base-pairing at the 3rd anti-codon position. The record is from RNAcentral. Lineage: Archaea; Promethearchaeati; Promethearchaeota.
GGGCCUGUAGAUCAGUGGAAGAUCAUUAUCUUGCACUUAGUAAGGUAAAUUUAAGCUUGACUUGCACUCAAGAGGUCACGGGUUCAAAUCCCGUCAGGUCCACCA